CAGCAGCCGCGGUAAUACGAGGGGUGCAAGCGUUAUUCGGAUUGAUUGGGUGUAAAGGGUGUGCAGACGGCUUAUUAAGUCACUUGUUAAAUUCUUCGGCCUAACUGAAGGUCUGCAAGUGAUACUGAUGAGCUAGAGGGUGGAAGAGAGAAGUGGAAUUCCCGGAGUAGCGGUAAAAUGCGUAGAUCUCGAGAGGAACACCAAUGGCGAAGGCAGCUUCUUGGUCCAUUCCUGACGUUCAUACACGAAAGCGUGGGGAGCAAACAGGAUUAGAUACCCCCGUAGUCCCUGUCUCUUAUAC
Molecule: ribosomal RNA, 301 nt
Filed under: uncultured bacterium
Lineage: Bacteria
Description: partial 16S ribosomal RNA
Rfam family: Bacterial small subunit ribosomal RNA
Source: RNAcentral